CGUAUGCGUCCUGGCGCCGAGGCGACUGAAGACGCUUCUCUGCUCGGACUUCGUUCUUCGAGGACGUCGGCAGAGAAAUCCAAUAAUGAGUAAUGUGAAGACGUUAAAUAAAUAGGUACCUUGUACCGUGUGCGUCCUGGCGCCGAGGCGACUGAAGAUGCUUCUCUGCUCGGACUUCGUUUUUGGAGGGCGUCGACAGAGAAAUCCAUCGAUGAAGGGACGAGCCGAGCUCGUUGGUUGAAGCUGGUAAAGAAUGAGCCGUGCUUGUUUGGCCAAUAAAGACAACAUCCCAACGUAUCGGGGCAUCCCGAUGAACCGGGGCGUCUCGACGUCUCGAGGCAUCCCGGCCGAGGUCGGGGUAGGAGCACGAGCCGAGCUCGUCCGGUCAGAGGACCGCUAUUCAGCAAUCGAUGGAGCACGAGCCGAGCUCGUCCGGUCAGAGAGGACCGCUACUCAAUA
RNAcentral lists this long non-coding RNA (459 nucleotides) under Phoenix dactylifera (date palm). Its description in RNAcentral is "long non-coding RNA (PDAC_LNC023105)". Lineage: Eukaryota; Viridiplantae; Streptophyta; Magnoliopsida; Arecales; Arecaceae. The record is from RNAcentral.